This 468-nucleotide ribosomal RNA is filed under the name uncultured bacterium. RNAcentral's name for it is "partial 16S ribosomal RNA". It matches the Rfam family "Bacterial small subunit ribosomal RNA", at positions 28 to 507 of the family's 1533-position model. The record is from RNAcentral.
GACGAACGCUGGCGGCGUGCUUAACACAUGCAAGUCGAACGGAAAGGCCCUGCUUUUGUGGGGUGCUCGAGUGGCGAACGGGUGCGUAACACGUGAGUAACCUGCCCUUGACUUUGGGAUAACUUCAGGAAACUGGGGCUAAUACCGGAUAGGAGCUCCUGCUGCAUGGUGGGGGUUGGAAAGUUUCGGCGGUUGGGGAUGGACUCGCGGCUUAUCAGCUUGUUGGUGGGGUAGUGGCUUACCAAGGCUUUGACGGGUAGCCGGCCUGAGAGGGUGACCGGCCACAUUGGGACUGAGAGACGGCCCAGACUCCUACGGGAGGCAGAAGUGGGGAAUAUUGCACAAUGGGCGGAAGCCUGAUGCAGCAACGCCGCGUGCGGGAUGACGGCCUUCGGGUUGUAAACCGCUUUCGCCUGUGACGAAGCGUGAGUGACGGUAAUGGGUAAAGAAGCACCGGCUAACUACGUG